CCUACGGGAGGCAGCAGUGAGGAAUAUUGGUCAAUGGGAGAGAUCCUGAACCAGCCAAGCCGCGUGAGGGAAGACGGCACUAUGGGUUGUAAACCUCUUUUGUAGGAGAACAAAACCCGGGACGUGUCCCGGACUGCGUGUAUACGUACAAAAAGCAUCCGCUAACUCCGUGCCAGCAGCCGCGGUAAUACGGAGGAUGCGAGCGUUAUCCGGAUUUAUGGGGUUUAAAGGGUGCGUAGGCGGUACGUUAAGUCAGCGGUGAAAUUGGGGGGCUAAACCCCGUCGAGGCGUUGAAACUUGCAGAGGUGAGGUGGCGAGAAGUACGCGGAAUGCGCGGUGGAGCGGUGGAAAGCAGAG
This 357-nucleotide ribosomal RNA is filed under the name uncultured bacterium. Its description in RNAcentral is "partial 16S ribosomal RNA". It matches the Rfam family "Bacterial small subunit ribosomal RNA", at positions 338 to 693 of the family's 1533-position model. The record is from RNAcentral.